CUGUACAGCCAUACCACCCUGAAUGUGCCCUAUCUUGUCUGAUCUCGGAAGCUAAGCAGAGUGGGUCUGGUUAGUGCUUGGAUGGGAGAAUGAAUCCUGAAAGACAUAAAAU
This 112-nucleotide ribosomal RNA is filed under the name Jaculus jaculus (lesser Egyptian jerboa). Lineage: Eukaryota; Metazoa; Chordata; Mammalia; Rodentia; Dipodidae. The record is from RNAcentral.